Non-coding RNA from Schistosoma rodhaini, 45 nucleotides. Lineage: Eukaryota; Metazoa; Platyhelminthes; Trematoda; Strigeidida; Schistosomatidae. The record is from Rfam.
AUCCAGCCGACAAGUCCCUAAUAGGACGAAAUGCGCGUCUUGGAU